UGGAAUUGUGGAGAUUGAAUGAGUACUUAGCUCAGGAGUGACAUGCUUGAGGAAGAGUGAUGAAUAAUACUGAGGAUGAUUCAACGUCUCUUGGUUUUACUUCUGCACCACCCAAACAGAAAAUAAUUAGACAAGAACAUUUCUUUUUCUAUAUCAGUGUCAUAACAUGUAUUAUUACAGUGCGGUGUAACCACAUGUCAGAAGAGAAUGUGUAGCUCAAAACACUGAACUAGGUGGAGAGGCCGAGGCCUUAAUUCUCCAAGAGACUGGGACCUGUGCUGGGUUCUAGCGCCUGUUCAGCGUCAGAAUCAUCAGCUGGCUGUGAGCCUACGUGAAUUUUUCUCCACUCAAUCUCAUCAUCCUUCAGACAGGCGGAGAGAGCGGGAUCCAUCUAUGAGAUUUCUCUGCUGAGAAAUCUCCUCCCUCCCUCCAAUGAAGCAACAGCAGGUCAUAUCUGAAUGCAGAAGCAUGGCCUUGUGCUGGGAAAACACAUCCUGGCUGUAGAGCUCUCAGGCUUCUAGAGUCAAAGCCAAGGGUUCAAAUCCUCUCUGUCUUACUCAGAAGCCACAUGGUCCUGAGACAGUGAAGUAACUCUGUGAACCUCAGUUUACCAAUCUGUAAGAUGGGGAUCAUAAUGUAAAAGAUGGCAUUAAAACUUACAUUGGGAAAAAGCA
Homo sapiens (human) is the source of this 674-nucleotide long non-coding RNA. RefSeq lists it as uncharacterized. The transcript is spliced from 3 exons. The record is from RefSeq and is a predicted model, not a curated record. Lineage: Eukaryota; Metazoa; Chordata; Mammalia; Primates; Hominidae.